GCGUUCUGAAGCUGUUCAUCACAUGGAACGGCUUCGCCAUCUUCCUACUUUGGAGCACUUCAUGCGUGACUUCAGUGCGGAGUACUCUCCUGCAAGUUCGACCCUAUGCUCGAAAGGAUCACACAAACGAAACACCUGAAGCCAACAUCACGCCAGGUGCCCUGAUAGGCUUUGAGGUGAGUCAGCCUACAACACCGUUGUAUCAUGUCGUAAAUAGCAUGCCUACAAAGGGCCAAUAAAAAAUGAAGCUUGAAUUUAAAAGGCUAGUUGAAGGCCUUUUUUCUUUCUUAUUUUUUUUUUUCAUUCUAUGCGAAAGGCUCCUAUUACGCUGAAGAGAAGCAGCGAUGUUCAAUACUGCUAUACCAGCAACGUAUAUUCACCAAUUAUCUCCCUCAUUCUUGAAAUGAAAAUAAACUGAUUUGAUUUGA
This is a long non-coding RNA of Dermacentor andersoni, 428 nucleotides long. RefSeq lists it as uncharacterized. The record is from RefSeq and is a predicted model, not a curated record. NCBI's taxonomy places the organism in Eukaryota, Metazoa, Arthropoda, Arachnida, Ixodida, Ixodidae.